RNAcentral lists this ribosomal RNA (292 nucleotides) under uncultured bacterium. RNAcentral's name for it is "partial 16S ribosomal RNA". It matches the Rfam family "Bacterial small subunit ribosomal RNA", at positions 505 to 796 of the family's 1533-position model. The record is from RNAcentral.
GUGCCAGCCGCCGCGGUAAAACGUAGGACACGAGCGUUAUCCGGAGUUACUGGGCGUAAAGGGCGUUUAGGCGGGUGACUAAGUUUGCUAUGAAAGCGCCAGGCUAAACCUGGCGAGGCUGGCGGAUACUGGUCAUCUGGAGUAAGAGAGAGGGAGGUAGAAUUCCGCGUGUAGUGGUGAAAUGCGUAGAGAUGCGGAGGAAUACCAGUGGCGAAGGCGGCCUCCUGGCUCUUAACUGACGCUGAAGCGCGAAAGCAUGGGGAGCGAACGGGAUUAGAAACCCCAGUAGUCC